CUGCAGUAGUAAUUAGCUAUAUCCAGAGUAAAAGAAAGAAGAGUAAGGAUAUAAACUUUCCAGCAUACGUGAAGGUUCCAAGGUCAUAAAGGGCCUGGCUGGUGCGGGAAGACCAGUGUGGCUAGAGAAUUGUGAGCAAGAGUUGCAUAAAGUAUAGCCUGGGCUCUCUGGCCACAGGUUAUUUAAUCAGGGAGUCAGCUGAAUCAAACUGAGUCAAUUGAGCUGUGUUUUCACUACUUGGAGUUAGUGAUAUAGAGAAUUUAGCCAGUUUGUUUUGGGUUCUGAAGAUAUAAGUUCAUGUAGAAAUUGAAGUUCCUGUAAAGUUAGGAAAAGAGGCAGCAUCCUGGGCACCAGAGCCCUGUGUAAACCUUUGUUAAGAGGAACGGAAUCUAAGAUAUAUCUGCGGAGAGAACUGGAAGUGGAACAAACUUGGAGAAAAGAGCAGCCAAGAGGUGUGGCGUUCCAGAAAGACAGAGUAGCUGCCGCCUGAUUUUCCAGUAUAAGAGACUGAGGUAUGAAGAGAUGAAGUAAUUUAUCCCAAAUGAGACAGCUGCUGCGCUGACAUGCUCUUGAAUUCAAUAUCUCCAAUCACAAUCUUCUGAUUCUCCUCCUUCCUGACUGCACAAGAUAGAAGUACUCCAUGUGGGAUCUCAAGUUAUACUCACAGCAACCUUAGGAUGAAGGAACUGUUAUUAUUCUCAUUUUACUGAUGAGAAAACUGAGGAUAAUGACCUGAUGAAGGUCAUACAACUACUAAAUGGAGCUGAUGGGAUUCCAACCUAGGUGUGCAUGACUCUAGAGUCCAUGCUCUUAACCACCAUACAUUGUCCAAGUAUAUUUGAUGGUUUUAAUCAUUAACAAUUUCAUAGGUGCAAAAUAAUCUAAUUGUUCUAACUUGCAUGUCUUUGCUUACUGGUAAGAUUGAAUAUUUUUUUCAGCUGAUUUUUAACCAUGGAAAUUAUUUCUCAAAUUAUCCUGUUGAUAUAUUUGUACUUUUUUUUUUUAUUGGAGUGUUCAUGCCUUUUUGAAUGGAUAUUAAAGACAAUAAACCAAAAUUAAAACAUUUU
RNAcentral lists this long non-coding RNA (1067 nucleotides) under Equus caballus (horse). RNAcentral describes it as "lncRNA (ENSECAG00000047824.1)". Lineage: Eukaryota; Metazoa; Chordata; Mammalia; Perissodactyla; Equidae. The record is from RNAcentral.